AACGAACGCUGGCGGCAUGCCUAAUACAUGCAAGUCGAACGAGAUCUUCGGAUCUAGUGGCGCACGGGUGCGUAACGCGUGGGAAUCUGCCCUUGGGUUCGGAAUAACUUCUGGAAACGGAAGCUAAUACCGGAUGAUGACGUAAGUCCAAAGAUUUAUCGCCCAAGGAUGAGCCCGCGUAGGAUUAGGUAGUUGGUGAGGUAAAGGCUCACCAAGCCGACGAUCCUUAGCUGGUCUGAGAGGAUGAUCAGCCACACUGGGACUGAGACACGGCCCAGAAUCAUACGGGAGGCAGCAGUAGGGAAUAUUGGACAAUGGGCGAAAGUCUGAUACAGCAAUGCCGCGUGAGGGAUGAAGGCCUUAGGGUUGUAAAGCUCUUUUACCCGGGAUGAUAAUGACAGUACCGGGAGAAUAAGCUCCGGCUAACUCCGUG
This 433-nucleotide ribosomal RNA is filed under the name uncultured bacterium. RNAcentral's name for it is "partial 16S ribosomal RNA". It matches the Rfam family "Bacterial small subunit ribosomal RNA", at positions 29 to 507 of the family's 1533-position model. The record is from RNAcentral.